GCGUUGUUCGGCAUUACUGGGCGUCAAGCGCACGUAGGCGGGUUUGUAAGUUAGAGGUGAAAGCCCGGAGCUCAACUCCGGAAUUGCCUUUAAGACUGCAUCGCUUGAAUUGUGGAGAGGUGAGUGGAAUUCCGAGUGUAGAGGUGAAAUUCGUAGAUAUUCGGAAGAACACCGGUGGCGAAGGCGACUCACUGGACACAUAUUGACGCUGAGGUGCGAAAGCGUG
This 226-nucleotide ribosomal RNA is filed under the name uncultured bacterium. RNAcentral describes it as "partial 16S ribosomal RNA". It matches the Rfam family "Bacterial small subunit ribosomal RNA", at positions 538 to 763 of the family's 1533-position model. The record is from RNAcentral.